CCUCCUCCUCCUCCUCCUCCUCCUCCUCUGUGUCAAGAGCUGUCACACGUGGGCCUUCGCCAGCUCCGACUGACACUCCUCACAACGCAGCUUCCACCGGACGGACGGUCUGUGUGCAGCGGCCAUGGCCCACCCCUCGGUGACCACAUCCGCCGUAAGCAGCCGGAGAUGAAACGAUAUGGAGAUUAUCAGGACAGAAAGCCUCCCAGCUUGUCACGGGAUGCAGAGCGUAUUGUACAUCCACAUGUAUUGAACACAAACCUGUCACCGUCUGUGACAGCCCCAUUCAUCACACACAAAGCCAAUCCUGUCAGCGGCACAAUGCGCUCCAUCCGUCCCUCCUCCC
Molecule: long non-coding RNA, 346 nt
Organism: Paralichthys olivaceus (Japanese flounder)
Lineage: Eukaryota; Metazoa; Chordata; Actinopteri; Pleuronectiformes; Paralichthyidae
Source: RefSeq, a predicted model, not a curated record